Long non-coding RNA from Solea solea (common sole), 530 nucleotides. RefSeq lists it as uncharacterized. The record is from RefSeq and is a predicted model, not a curated record. The transcript has 3 exons. NCBI's taxonomy places the organism in Eukaryota, Metazoa, Chordata, Actinopteri, Pleuronectiformes, Soleidae.
AUGUUCAAAGUUAUUUGUCAAAAAUCACUUAUUCGGAGGACUUUUUUCUGACAUUGUGAGGCUCAGGUGUUUAAGUGUUAAACAAACGUCAACUGGACUUACUAAAAUUUAGACAUACAUUGGACACAAAGUCCCUCCUCUCGCCUGUUUAACCCCUCCCCUCGUCCCGGGUUGAGCUGUUAAAUAAGACGAACUCUCAUGAACGUCUCAUCAUCACUCUGGAGCAACACUUUCCAGAAGCGAGAAUGUCUCUUUGCCGCGUGGCCAUCAUGGUUCUCGUCGUUGUCCUGCUGCUUUAUGUUGCAGAGACUGAGGCUUGCCGAAGACCUGGAAUAUGUAAAUCCAGGUGUGGCAUUUAUGAAAUAAGGUCAACAAAGUUUUCCUAUUGUCCUUCUGACAAAGUAUGUUGCUAUAUGUGGGGCUAAUCCAUCCGUGCUACUAUGAGACUCACCUGGAAUCAGAUGUCGUGGAGGAUUCUGGAUUCUUGUGCAGCUCAAAUGACUGAGAUGGAAUAAAAAUAUUGGAUUGGA